Molecule: long non-coding RNA, 14185 nt
Filed under: Gallus gallus (chicken)
Lineage: Eukaryota; Metazoa; Chordata; Aves; Galliformes; Phasianidae
Source: RNAcentral
GGGGUGUAUUUGCCUCAUCAGGUGGAUCCCUUCAUCUUGCAAACUAUUGAGGAAAGCAGUGCAAGUGCUGUCUGUGCUACCGCCGUGUAGUAGGUGUGGGUGAGUGCAUCCUCCUACUGCAGAAGGCUCAGAGCCUUGGUUUAGUGAGGGCAGGUGCUGCUCAUGGGCACAAGUGUUACCUCCGAGGGUUUGCAGCAGCAAAUCCUACCUGCUGCAGCAGGAGUUUCCUACCAGCAGGGAACUGGUGUUAGCUGUGCACCACCAGUCCCUUCUGGCUGCAGCAGGGAACACUUACCCAAGAAGAGAGGCUGUGGCACCGCUCAGUGCCAAGAAAAAGGUUUAGGUACGUCAUUAUUUCAUUCUGAUAAGGAACUGUUGAAGGCUUAUGGUCUUUGACUCCCUUUCUAAUGUUUUGGCUCAGGUGUGAGUUAUGCCCUUGAGAUGGGAGUGCUUCCUGUGACGUACUCAUGGAAGGUUCCAUAGCCAACAAACCUGACAGGCAGUGCGAGGGGAGGAGGUGAAAUGAGGGGCAGUGGCCUGCAGCCAGCAGGCUCCUGUGCUGCUUUUCACACCCAGUAACCAAAGGCAUUUCCUGUCACUCACAGCCACUGUAGGAGCAGCGCUGGGCACACCAAAGAGCAGCCCUGGGAUGCUGCAUCAGUGUGUGCUGUACUUAUGGAAGGUGGGAGGACCAAGAGUGAGGGCUGAGCACUGGGACAGGCCAGAGAAACACAGUUGUACACUGUUGUACAGCAGCUAGGAGGCAGCUCUGUGCUGUAUGGCCACAACCUUCCCAACCUCAUGCAGAAUAAGGAGACACUGUAAGAUUUGAGGCUCAUUUCUAAGGUGAUUAUUACAGUAGGAAGAGAGUUCUUCAGAUGAGUUAAAUCCAUUUAAUGCAGGAAUUCCAAGCCUGCAGUAAGGCACAACCCUGGGGCUAAAGUUAGGUUUGUCAGUUAUGUUCUGCUCUGUGAGAUGCUGCAUUCUGCUGCCAUUUGUGCCACUGCUCGGCUCCUCCACAAGAAAGCCAACCUUAAUCCAAGGCUGCAUUAUCAGGGCAGUGAACCACCUCAGUAGUGGCGGUGUAAGAAAAGCACGGCACUUGUACUGCAAGCUUUGUAUGACUGAGGUUUGAUGGUGUGUUUAAAAAUACAUAUAUAUAUAUUAUUGAAGAAUGUGUUGACAAUAUAUUAGACUUGAAAUAGGUUUACGCUAACAUUUUUUAACUUGUAUCUGCCAUUAAGCGAAGCAUUACAUAUGCAUAGAGGAUAAAUAUUUAUUUAGAGUCUUUUUAAACAAAAUAACGUGUUGUCGCUGCAUACAGACAGUUCUCUACUCUGCAAUAAGGCAGUUGGUACAUUGCUGUGUUAAAAAAAUCAGUCGGCCUUUUCUAAUUGAGUGAGUGGCAAAGGCAAGGCUUGUGUUCUACAGCUUACUGUGGCAAUUUCCAAACAACGAAUGCCAACCCCUCAGAUCUGUGAGCUUUUAGUCAGUCAGAUCUCCUGGAGCAUCCAAACCAUCUCCAGCAUCUCCACAAAUCCGUCCCCCUGCAGAAGGUGUUCUGUAGAACCAAACUGAGCUGCCCCAACCGCAGCCCAAAGCAACAGCCUCGUUACAAGGAAUGCUGUGAAAAAUCAGAAAUCCAUAGCAGUACGAUUCUAUUGUACAGUAAUUACACUUAAAUAAUUUUUAGGACAAGUUUAGAUAGCAAUUAUCAUUACUGCAGAUGUUUAUAAGGAGGAAAUAUAUACGUGGAUCAUCUGUUCAUCGAAUAAUGGGUGCUGAUCUGUCGUUUGUUACUGUUGGUCUGAGUUUCACAGUUGCAAAAGGAUUUUCUCCACUGAAAAGGAAUGCACAAAGUUACUGCAGGGCUCGCUGUGCUGGAAGAACACGUUGCAGUUUCACACCAACAGAUCCUACACGACUCCUAGCUUAGCCUGAGCAUUUAAAACAGCCUUGCCCAGGAGAACUGUCUUGACAGCAGUCCCAGGUUUGGUAAGUUGCUGUCUGGUUCGAUCUGGACGUUCCCUUAAAGGCUUCCAAGGAACGUUGGAUUUAACCCCCACUCUGUGCCAACCUGCAGAAGAAGUGCCUGCUGCUCUGGGGGGGUCUGUGCUCCCCUAACAGCACUUCUGACACUGCGGGUUUAACACUGCUGCCAAUGGUCAGAGUGGCUCAGGAAAGGACAUCCUCAGUUCCCUCAGUCAAUUCGAUAGCAUACAUCAAAAUAAAAAUCAGCGCAGCUGUAACUGAAUAAGCAGCUUUAAAAUGUACCUUAGAAAGGGUGGUUUUACGAUGCCAUUCAUGUCGGGUUUCUGCAAGAGAAAAGGAUUUUGGUACAGAUUUAAAAAGCAACAAAAUGUGCUACAGGUGCUCUCCUCACUGUCCUGCUAAGGAAAAGAGGCCCCACCAUUCAAGCAGAAUGAAAUAUUUAGUAACUUGGACUAAUAGCUGUCUAAUUUAGCUGAGCUGUGCAGAGGUGGGCAGAGAAGAAUGAUCUCAGAACAUCCAAAUGCUGACAGCUGUGUGUGCAUACGGUGUAGAGAAUGGGGUCUUCUUCCCCAGAGGGGUCAGUUCUGUUUUGUUUUCCCAAGAUCAGCAAUUAUUUGAGUCUUCGCCUGCACCGUAUAGGUAAAAAUAUCAGACAUCACCGAAAACUGGCAACCAGAAGAAGAGGACAGAAGCAAAGUGUUGCCAUGCAGUUUCUGUAGCACACUGCAGAAGUGGCUGUGACUGUCAGUGUGUGAGGCCAAAAAAAGCCCAACACCACAUACAGACACCCACCAAACAACCAAAUCCCCAAUCCCACCGCCACAGACACCCUCCUGUGUUCAGCUACUGUUGAUAUGCAGCACAUGGGUGAAGGUGUCUCCCAUGGCUUCUGUGAGCAGUGAAGGUGAACGCAAAGCAAAGCAGUGAGCCCUGGCAGCACCGAUGUGUUUAACCAGCAGUGGCUGCCUGGGAGCGGCACGAGAAGAGGAAUGCCUUUGUACAGGUAUUGUUGUAUUUUGUUCUGAUCAAACGGUCACAUUUGUUGAAAUGUACAAUCUGAAAGCAUUGUAUUUACAGCUACAGUUUGCACUUUACUUCUGUGAUGAGAUUUCCUUCAUCUUUGUGGAUUUGAGACUACCCAGAAGAUGGCAGUGUGGCACUGACACGGCGGUCCUUUGGGGUGCAGUGCUUGGGUGCCAUGAAGUCAGCUGCUGCAACGUGGGGCUGCCAAGCCUGCUGCACAGCGGGGAGGCUUUGGCAAACAUUACACUUGUCCUCUUUUCCACUAAACUUUUAGUAUGAGCGUAUUUAAUUUUAAGUAUUUCAAAUGGCAAACUAAUUGCACUGCUUCCAGGAGGUGUCCGCAUUGGAUACACAGCAGUGCAAUAUUUGGACAAGCAACAAAAUCAAAACUAAUAAUUGCCUAAUUUGAUAUUACUCUUCUUUUUGAGUCAUUGCUUGAAUGAUGACUUAAAAGUAGAAAUACCAAAUUUAUAGAGCAUUAUCCAUUCUGAAAAAAUGCACUUCCACUCAUCUGUAAAAUGCUGAAUGUAGGCAUUAAUUAGUGCUCACAUCCCUCAACAGCAUUCACAGAAGUAGCACUGACUUUCAAGGUGUUGUGUAAAGUACUCCUGGACACAGAGUUCGGCUGUUUUAAGUCCUCUGUCCCACUACAGCUCUGCUGUCACUUAAGAUUAUAGAUCUGUACUGCUUUCCAUGAGAACAUGUUCUCAAGUUUCACAGAUUCUCUUUCUCUGCUAUGCAGGGAAAGCGCAGGGCUUCUAGUGCUCUUAAUUGUAUCCCCAAACAAUUUGGCACCCUCCUUAUUACUCUGGGUAGACUGAGAUACCAGAAAAGCAUAAUAAUCCUGAAGAGUAGCUACUGAAGUCAGGUACAAGUAUCUCAAAUAGCACGGUAUUAAGGGCCUCAUUUAAGAGCUCAGUUAAGUAGGUCAAGAAGAGUAAGCGGUGCAGAACAUUUAGAUGAAUGGCAUUGAUUACUUACCAGACCUGCACUUUCUGGUUUGUCAGUUGGUGUUCUAGCAGCAGUACCUUUGGAAGACUCCAUUCUCUUAUCUGAAGUUGAACCCAGAUAGUCUGGCGGUGGGAGGACAACACCAGCUUUUUCUGCAAGAUUCACUGAGCUAAUACUUCUAACCGGCGCAGCGCUGCAAGACAGAACCCAGCAGGUAAUGUUCAGUUCCCAUAAUACACCUUUCCUCCUUGUCGUUAGUCCCAGGAAAGAACACAAAUGUGUAAUUAAGGCAUGUAAUCUCACUGAAGUCCACGGGACUUUUAAGUUGGACUGAUGAUCAUUCUUAGGUCUCUGUGUCGCCAUUAAACCAUGGUAAUGUGAUCUAGGUAUGACAGUUGGGAGGUACUUACUGCAUAUGUUACUGAACAACUGAUGGUGUAAGCAGAAGAGUAAUAUUUUUAAUACAUGUUAAAGAAGAUUUGGAUAUUUUUUGCACAUUCCAUUCAAAAUAUUACCUUGAUGCUGGAACAAAGGCUUUUUCUUCUGAUUCUUCUAGUGGUCUGGUAUAUGAUGAUGGAAACCAUCCUUUUCUGUAAUGGAAAGGGAUUUCAAUUUCAUAUAAUAUAAAGUUGGAAAGAUUUUUCAGAAGUCAACACCAGACAAAACGGUGGACUCUGGAAGAUGUAACGUUUAAAGGCCGGGGGUUCUGGUAUGCAAGAGCUCCCUGCAACACGUGCAGUGAGAUUCUCCAGAUAGAAGUCCCCACUCAGCGACAGCAGAAAAAGGUGGAAAACCAUGUACUAAUAUCUGCUGGGGACACUUUUCCUUCAUGUUCAAAUUGGGUAAUAAAUUGAUUCUCUUACACUUUAGUUGACUCAUGUUCCCCGUAAAGCCAGCCAUCCUUUUCUUCAGAUACAAGAAGUAUGAUGGUAUCUCCCUGUGCAAAGCUAAGUAAUGUCUUGUUAUUUCCAGCAGUAUGUGGAAAGAUUGUCUUUACUUUCUGCCUUUUCAUUAUGUUUAGCCCUGUGGCAACAGAAGUUGAGCGUGAUAAACUGGCAUCAUCUGAAUUCUCUGUCAAACAAAACAAAAAAGCAAAAUUAACCAUAUUAACAAAGUACAAUUAGCUGUCAGGAAAAGAAGAUCUGGUAAAGCAGUGCUCAAGUGCAGUGUAGUUGUGAGACUUUGUACUGUUUGGGUUCUGCUUAGACUCUCAGUUAUCUUUCAGUGUUUCUUAUCACCAGAGUUCUUAACAGCAUUGCUAUUUGUAUACAUGCACACUCGCUGCCACAGUAAUGUUGAACCAACAGACAUAAAAAGUUCCUUAAGCGUUAACUUGCUACUGCUUUCUUCCCUUGGCAUAAGAAAUGCUAACCAGAAGCAGCUGCAGAAGACUCCAAAAAUUUUCCAUUCUUAAAAAAAGAAACAAGUCCAAGAUGUGAUUUCAUUAUCAUGUCCAGCACUGAGCUUCAGCUGAAUCAAUGACAACUGCAGACACUUGGCACUUUGCAGACAUCAGAUGUUUUCCAGAAGAUGAUUUAAAGGACGUCUCAGAAAUGUAUGUUUUUUGACCAGUAUAGUGCACUUCAAAGGCAUUGUUAAGGAAGAAAUGCUGGAACUGCUGUUCUAGCACUGAAGAGUUCUGCAUUUGCUUUGUUGUGAUGUAGGCUCAGUUCUUUCCCUGUAGCAGAGUAAGUCAAUGACUCAGAUUUUACAGACUAAGAAAAUACUGUAACAGGGUUUUACAUUUCAGGAAGAGAAGUACAGGACAGCUUGUUUUGCCCCACGGGCAUUCUCUCCUGGCUGCUAUACACUCUCAAAGGAAAGCAUACCAAGACUGCAAUGUUAGUUGGUGUCUGUUCGUGUGCACUGAAAUAAUGGUGUGUAUCUGGUCCAAAAUCAUAGAAUGCAUUCUUCUGAUUAGAUUGAGAGCACAGAGAGCAGUUAAGCUGUGUUAAUCACAGAUGCAUGGCAAAUGAUUAAAAUAGAAGUUCAAGGUAGGGAGAUUAAUUUUAUUGCAAACAGUUAUUUCCUUCUUAUGACAUGCACUACACCUACGACGUAACUGCCAUACAAACACUCUGUAAAGACCAUUUUAUGCUCCUCCACAUAUCCUGGAAUUCAAAUCCUGAUAGUAGUAACGAAAUCCCAAAGAUAAUGCUGAGUUCUGUAAGGCGCCCUUUGCACGUACGUGGUUUGCAAUGAAAUGACUCUCACCUGCUGGGUUGGUCGGUCUUUCAGGAGACACCUUUGGAGCCAUGGCAGGAUUGUUGAACAUGUCCACAAGCGGGCUGGUGUAUGCCCUGCCCACAGGAGCAGGGGGCACCUUUGAUGCAUUUUCAUUAUGAGCAUAAAAAUUGUUUCCAAUCUAGAAUCAGAAAAACAUUGUGCUGACAGGGAGGUGACAUGACUUCCUGGGUUAUUUGCAACAUAACCUCUAGAAAGCAAUGCUCAGGUUUUCCCAAAUGGUGUGUAUGUAAGGCCUUUCUGCUGGGCCUGCCUCGCUAUGAAACUUCUGAUAGAAGAGUUUGCAAAGGUCCCAUUCCCUGGUGCACAGUAGUUAGUGGGAAUGCUGUGAAAGCCCAGGUUUCCACAAACAGCCCACUCCUGCAUAGAUCAGUACAUUUCUUAACACGACUACUGGAGUACUGAAUUUAGAAUUUCAGUAACCAAUAGUAACACAACAUGCAAACGGGGGGAACUGAGAAUUUAAUUUUACUUCAGCAUUCUGUAAUAAGAAUCAGAGGGAAGAAGGAAAGAGUAAAAUUUUGUUUAUCUUGAACCUCGAGUAUGUAAUUCCUAGCAUUUACAGACAGGAACAUUGGAAAUAGAGUGGCAAAGAGCAGGGUAGUCCUAAGGCUGUGCUCUGCAGGAAAGCCCUGCACACCCAACUGGAGACAGCCUUCUUUGCCUGUGCGCUUCUGCCUGCUUUACUCUGUGUAUUUCUCCAGCAGCAGAGCUGCUUAAUGGUUUUGCUCUCCUACCCAACCCUAUUAUAUUUUAGCUGAUGCGUGUUGUAGCCUUGAAUCCAAAUGCUUAAGUACAAUAGAAACUAGUGAAGCCAAUCUGGACCCAUUUGAAAGAGAGCCUUGAGCUAUCAGGGAAUGACAUACCAUGGUGUUUCUCUCUAUCAUUGGUGAAGGCUGCGGAGUUCCUGAUAUGGGAGUGGAACCAGGUGUCCUUAUUUCCUCAAUCAUCAUUUUGACUUUUUCAGGAACUUUGGUGGCAUCACUGCAGAUUUCCUGCCACCCAGGCAGCUUGGCGUUGAGGAAUUCUGCACACUGCAUCCACAUGUAAGAGGUACUCAUCAAAGAUACAAUUUUGCAUAAAAUUACACAGAGCUACUUGCUAAUUUUUCUUACAGAAAAAAAGAUAAGCGAAAUGAAAGUCUUUUCAAACAUGUUCAAAGCUAAGUAAUAUCUCUUUGAAGUAUAUAGUAGAAAGAGAUGGUCCUUUUUCAGGGUCAGAUAUUAGAAAUGCCAUACUUCUUCACGUGUGGUUUUUUAAGAAGCCAUAGUAACCCCUUACUGUUCGCAGUGGUACAUUUAUGAGAAUAUCACAUCGUAGACAUUCUCUACAAACAGAUCACAACACUUGUCUGGCACUACAGUGCUUCCACUGCUAUCUAAACUAUUUGUGGCAGUCUCGUCCAGAUACUAGAAGAGAUCUUAAGAUCUCUGAUAUGAUUAGAUUCCAGGAGCUUCAUUUUAUGUACAUGCAUGCCACUGACCUGAGCGUGAUAGAAGUGCAUGUGCUGGGUAAAACUGCAGUGCUUGUCAACUAGAAAACAGAAUCUUCUUUUUUCUUCAAGUAGAGCUUCUCUACAGCCUUCAGCAAUAAAUCUCUGAAUGUCAGUCUGUCGAGAGCUCACGGUUUCCAAAUACUAAGGAAAAAAAAGUAGAUAAAUCACAUAGAGUCUGUGAGCUUUCUUUGAUACUCUGUCCAGUUACCGAAGGGAGUUCCAAAAAGACAAGAAAAAGUUAUCAGAAAGGUGGGGUGCAGUGGCUCUGCUUCCAAGUCAUUCUCUUUUCAUGCACACACCUGACUUCUCCAAUCUCAUCAGACACACAUGUAUUCUUAUUAUAGGCAAUCAGUAUUCCAGGGUGUGAGGAAAGGGCACCAGAGGAGAUUCAGAUGUCAGGAAGAAUUUCUUCACGGAAGGAUGGCUGGGCAUCGGAAUGGCUGCAUGGGCACUGGUGGAGCUGCUGUCCCUGGAGCUGAAGAGACGUGUGGAUGUGGCACAUUGUUUAGGGCUGGACUUGCCAUCAAGACCCAUCCCUCCAUGGUGUACAUGGGGUUCUGGUAACCCCGUGCCUGGAGCAUCUCCGUUGUGAAGGAAGGAUGGCAGACGUGGGGCAUUCAGCCUGGAGGAGACCGAAGGGUAAUGUUACUGAUGCUCAUCAGUGUCUGGUGGGUGGGAGUCAAGCGGAUGGGGCCAGGCUCUUUUCGUGUUGCCCAGCAGCAGGAGAAGGGGCAGUGGGCACUAAGUGUAAGGUAGGAAGUUCCAUACAAACAGCCUACAGUGAUGGGGUGCUGGUGAUUAGAAGUAGAGAAGUAAAUACUACAAGAAGUGAGAGUUACUACAGUAAUUAUUUCCUAUGCAGUAGGAAAGUAAACAGAGUGUAGUCACAUAAACACUUGAAGCAAUGGACACCGGUAAGCGCCCUUGUUAUUCUCAUGGCUGCAGCAGCGAAUGCAGUUGAGUCUGUAGUCCUUGUUUCACCCAGAUCAACUGAGAAGGCACGUAUUUGACUGCAGUGGCAUUUCAAAAUUAGAGGGGUUUUGUAUAACAGGAAAACCCACCAUGCAGUGAUGCAGUGUUAAAAGAAACGGGGGAAUAAUCCGGAUAAGACUACGAAGUUUGCUUGGUUUCAAAUACGCAGAACACAAAGCUGCUGGGAAUUCAUAGGCAUUCGUGGUGAGUGCUGGAAUGGCCAUCAGAAAAUUGCCCCCACGAGUUGUUUAUCCUUUUGAGAGGAGUGUAUGCACUCUGUGUGUAACGCGUGCUGGGAGGAGCUGCUGCCAAAGCCGUGCACUCUGCGAGCAGUUGGCAGCGCCGGCGCAGCGCAGUGCGUUCAGCAGGCAGCCCACAAGGCCGGGCAUUGAGCACACAGCCCUGCAGCGCUGCGCCCGCUGAAACGGCCCAUUCACCUGGAGUGGGGCGGGUGGAAAACCUGACGCUCAGGGCUUGUUAUUCCUGUCUCACACAGCACUCAUCUGACCGCAGCCCGCCAGGCUUUCGGCUUUGAAUACUUGGGUAGAAAACUAGCUACCUUUUUGUUUUGAGCCUUAUUGCAAAGAAUACUGCCCAAACGUAUCCUGAGAUUAAGAGAACCUUAAAAUGGGCACUUCCUUCUGAACAGUUUGUGCUGCAUUAUUUUCCAAGUUUCUUUUCUUUGCACACCCUAGAGCACGUUUUGCUUUUAAACAUCAGUGGCCGUUUCUCUCAUUGCAUCCUCUUUCCCCCCUCACCAGAGGCUCCCUGUGCCCUGCACGUCAGACAAAACCCGUUUUGUGCUGGGAUCUCUUUGCUGCUACCAGCAAUGCAGAGGCACUGGGUGUGCCGACUCACUGCCUCGCCUCCUCUUUCAUGCUCUGAAAAGAGCUCACAGUGAGUGCACGGACCUAUUAAGAGUUAAGUUAUAGUUUACAUUAGAGGUCAGAUUCUGCUCUUUAAAUAGAGAACACUUUGUAAGUGGACGUCUGCCAUGGUCUUUUAUCACCAGUUUAAGAGAAUGGGUUACCGCGUUUGGACGGCCCUCCUGAUUAAGAUUUGUAUAGGAGAAAGGUUUCUGUGGAAGUGUAAGUCAGGAGAGGUAAAAUGAGCCCAGGCCUCCACGUCACAGCACCCAAGUGGGAUGGAAACCAAACAACUUCAGGACAGCACGUUGAUUUUGAUUACAAUUGUGAAUUAUAAAAUAGCUCUAGUAAACACAGUAGGUCAUUAGAUUAAUGAUGACGUCAGGUAGGGCCAGGCCCUGGUGCUUGGUAAUUAUUCAGUUUGUAAAAAGGUCAAGAAAGCUACCUGAAGUGAGGACAAAUGUAUUACUCACAUCAAUUAAAAAUAUUUUGCUAUGUAUUAAAGCUGCUCAUGAUCAGGUUUAGUGAGACCUCUUAAUACACAGUAACCAAGUCUCGACCUUGUCAUCAUUUACUGUCAAACCCCACAGCUAGCAAACAUGCAAAUACACUACAAAAUAUGACUAGACUGCAUGAUAACAGACUGCUUAUGUCCAGCUGAUGACAGACAUACUGUAGACCAAACCAGCUUUAGGCAUCACAUUAUGCAAUGAAUUAACAAACACAAACCACCACUCCUCGUGAUAAACAUAACCAUUACAGCACUUCACUUUCAAAGAUACCAUUUUUUUUGCUUUACAUUUCCCCCCCACUAAACACAAAAUCUCUGUGAUGAAAACAGUAGAAAUAUGUUAAAUAUUUCCACAUUUGUUUUAGAAAACAAAAAUGUAUUCAUAAUUGUUCACGGACAUGUUCUGUUCUGUUAAUAUCAGCUCAGUAUUACAGUGAAGGGAAGAAAGGAAACAACUUUUACAGAUGGGUAUUUCGGGAAAACAUCUCACCUUAAAAGAAAAGUGACCUUAAAAAUAUACCAAGCAUCGUUCAUGUAGAGCAGUUGAAACUAGGCUGUGUAACAUGGCCCCAGUCUGAAAUGUGACCAUGGGUAGUAAUGCCAAAUUGCACAGUAAAUUGAUUUCAGUUUCAGGUGGGUUUGGUGUACAGCAGAACGAUCUCUUAAAAACUUGACCUCUUAGAAGACCUCUUAAAAACUUGAGGGGGGUUUUUAGGCUUACCCGAGGUUCUUAGCUGUGCCUAUGUUUUCUGUUAAGAACGUAAGACAGGCUAGAAUUGCAUUAAUGCUCUGUUGGGUUUGUGUGCAGAAAGAAUAAAUAAGAACCACUAACCCGAAAUACACAACACUUCUCCACACACAGCAGCACGUGAGGAAGAAGACAUCUCUGAACAAUUGCCUUCACAGUAGAUGAAAAACAAGGAAAGCGAUUUCUAGCAGAAAGCCUCGCUUGAAAAUAGAACAGAUAAUAAGCAUCUUCAUUAUGAGGCCAGAAUGUAGAGCUUCUGCAGCAGUUACAGUUCAAUCUCACUGUUCACACUGAGCAAUUUUAGUGGUUGUUUAUCUUUUUAGCUUAUGCUGACUGCUGCUCCGAACAGAAGGUAGGAAGAGUUAGUUCAAAACAGAGACAAAAAUGGAACCAAGAAAACCACUUAAACUUUUAAAAUAUCAAUUGGCUAUCUUAGAACUGAUAAAAUUAUUGAUUUCAUCACCUACUUGAAAUAUAGUUAGGAUUUUGUUUAUCUUUAGAGGAGGUCACUGGAGAAAUGUCAGGUCUCACUAAAGAGACUCUGUUAGGUGCCUGGGAACAAAGUGCCCAAUUAGAAUCACUCCUUUAUCUCCUGUUGUCCUAUUUUGCAUUCAGGGCAGGUCUUUGAGAUGAAGCCAUGUAAUUAUUUGUAUUAAACAAGAGCAAAGGGCUGAGUCAAAGCUACACAUGGAGACAGGACAGGUCAGGCGUAUCAGGAGCUCCCACUUCUGUCAAGAUGCUCUUUCUUCCCAGUUGCCCUUUGCCCAGAAGAAAGGCACUGAUGACUAAGGAGAGCUGGAAACAAAGUCAUUGGAAGCCAUUAGCCCCCGAAAGGAGGUGAAAUGGGAAGUCUCAAAAGAAUGCAGCGCAACAUAAAUAUAACUGACCUAAACAUCUGUUAAACUUCAAGUACAUUCAAUUUACCAUUCUCUCAUAGGAAGGAUUUAUUGCAGAAGGACUUAACUGUGCAGCAGAUACUUGAAAGAAGGCAGAAAGUCUUAAUGGAAAUUAGCAUAGAUGAAAAAAUAAGAAAAGGCAAAACAGUGUGUUGGUUUCCAAACCACUGACUGUGCUCUGCUUCUAAUGCAGCUUGCCCAGAAUACUUGUGGGGGGAGACAACGUGUAGGGUUAAUGCUCGUGCGCACAUAAAUCCACAGGACUAGGUCAAGUCUGCCUUUCCUUACUGCAUCAGCGAACACGAAGUGGGCAGCAAGGAAUAAAUCUUCCUGAGGUUAAUUUUAUGAAGUGGCACUGACACGUGGCCAUUCAGUGCAUGCUAUGAAGGUGACUGCAGAGGGUGAAGGAAGAACAAAAAAGAAAAAGAGGAGUCAAAUCUACAGUAGAGCAGGAGGGAAGAGAGCUCAGAGGAUAACAAAGUGUUUGAAGUCUGCUAGAGGUGGUAAGCCCCCAGCACGCAGAAGCACUGCUGAAUGGAUGGUUAUGUUUUGAUAGGACAGAAUUCUGUAAUGUCAUAUAUAAAGCAAAAAAGCAAGAUUUUCAGUUUCUAAACGGGACUCUCAGAUCAAUUUAUAUUUCCAAAUAUAGAAAGUUCUCACUAAAAUAGCAAUAGAUAUUUCUGCAGUAUAACAACCAAGUAUGUUAAUUCGCCUGAAACAAAUUAGACACAGAUUAACAUGAACAAAGCCUCCUUUAUCCUCAGAUCGUGUGUGUUCAUGUAGGAGCGCAGCACACUGAAAUCCAAGUGAUACCGAUCGUGGAUCGGGAAGAGUGGAAUGAAACAUUCUGCUGUUAUUUAGACAUGUAAAAGUAAAAUCCAAAGCUCACACCUCACUUUGCAGAUUUGCCUUCUUCCCUUCGUACACAGACAGGAGCUGCCAUGAAGUUCUGUCCAUCCACUUCACAGUAAAGUGAAGGUAAAGAUACAGGUAAAGAUAUAGCAUAGUUUUCAUGGGAUCAGAGCCAUUUCAGAGUUCUUUUCACUUUUCUCCACAUCCUCUGAGUUUAUUCAGUUGAGUAAUUUCUUCCCAGCUACAUCCUAGCCAAAAUACUUUAGCAAGAGACCAGAGCUGCUUUGCUCAGGCUGUGUUCUAGCUACCAUAGACUUUCUUCUGCUGGAGGUACCUUCUACCAUUUUACUUCUCCAGUCAGUGCUGUACACUGGGUUCUGUGCUUCCUGAAGUGUUUGCUUCAUUGCAAUACGCACAUCUUUGUAUGUCCAUAUAGCACAUACAAGUAAAUACAUACAAAUAUGUAUAUUUAACACUGACAGCUCGUUCCCUCUGUGCCAAAGGCAAAGAGCAUCAGGAGUGAAUACAUGAGCAAUUAGCAAGACUGUGAGAAUUUCCAGUUCCUCUAAGUUUGUUCGUGGUGUGAUGCCCCUAUUUUACUAUUUAAACAGGACAACGAGAAAGGCUUAUGUUAUUUUAAAGAGAAGUGUGACUUUCCAUUUGAGCGACUUCCAGCCUGGUCUCCUUCCCUUUUCUCUCCCAACCAGUCAAAGAAAAAAAAAAUCAGAGGUUAAAUUGUUUUAAACCUACUGUAUCACUGAACAGAUGACAAUGAACAUGAAAUAUUUAUCUUGUUUCAGAUGAUUGGUAAGUAUGGUAACUAAAUUUUAAUGUUAAUUAAGAAAGGAAAGGAAAAGCGUAUGCCACAUAAAUAAUGCAUGAAAAAUGGCAAACUUGUUUUUCCACCUGUUACUCCAUCCAUAAUAUCUUUAAAGACUGACAGAGGCUUUUUUUUUUAACCCAAGCAUAUAAAGCAGACUACAUUAAGGUAUGUAUGUCACUGACAUCUUCCAUGGGGCCCCGGAAGCCUUAAUUACAACAGCUUCUCAUACUGGAGCUGCAGUGGUGUUGAGAAGCAGCUUGCAGGCCUUACCAAUCAGGUGUGAGGAAAUAAGUGACAACACAAGCACAAGCCUGAGCUUGCCUGCUGGACGCCCUGCUGCUUGUAGGCAGAUUACUUAGGGGUGAUCAUACAGCAAAGCCACCCUGUGUCUGAGCAGCACUGCAACAAGCAAAUGGCACAGAACAGCAAAAGCGGAGGUUCCUAAUGGGCUUCCAGUGCAAAAAAAGGAUGAAUACCUAAGGCACUGUGCUGAGUGCUACAUGAAAUACCAUGCCACGUGGGGAGUCACUGCCUUUCUUAAUCACGGCGAUCUGAAGCUGCUGGUAUCAAAGGUGUCUCCAAAGUGAGACGUUUUGGGUAAAGGCUUUUUUGUGGAAUUCCAAGAGAAGCUGUUCUCCUCCUUAGGAAUGUAAAUGGCAUCUCCAGCUGAUCCUGGGCUUUGUUCAGGAAUUGUUAAUUAGUAAGAGCUGACUGUACGGACAAAAUAAAGGUAGAAUUUCGGUUAGGGGAUUUACAAGCCAGUUACAUACAUGAUGUGAUCUUUGCAACUACGUCAUUUGCUUUCCAUUUUC